GGGUCGCUAGCUCAGCUGGUAGAGCAGAUCCCUCUUAAGGAUAAGGUCGUGGGUUCGAUCCCCACGCGACCCA
Molecule: transfer RNA, 73 nt
Filed under: Candidatus Magasanikbacteria bacterium RIFCSPHIGHO2_01_FULL_47_8
Lineage: Bacteria; Candidatus Magasanikiibacteriota
Also listed under: 3 other names
Description: tRNA-Lys
Rfam family: tRNA
About the family: Transfer RNA (tRNA) molecules are approximately 80 nucleotides in length. Their secondary structure includes four short double-helical elements and three loops (D, anti-codon, and T loops). Further hydrogen bonds mediate the characteristic L-shaped molecular structure. tRNAs have two regions of fundamental functional importance: the anti-codon, which is responsible for specific mRNA codon recognition, and the 3' end, to which the tRNAs corresponding amino acid is attached (by aminoacyl-tRNA synthetases). tRNAs cope with the degeneracy of the genetic code in two manners: having more than one tRNA (with a specific anti-codon) for a particular amino acid; and 'wobble' base-pairing, i.e. permitting non-standard base-pairing at the 3rd anti-codon position.
Source: RNAcentral